CGGAGCACCAAUACUACGUCCAAUUUUUUAUAUUUUACUUUUUCUCUUUUAAAAUCUCACUUUAACGUCAAGACUCAUAAAUCUUUGACGUAUUUUUCGUCUGCAAGGAGGUCACUCUAAUGAUGUUUGAACGUCGAACUUUGGUAAUAUUUGAUGUUCGUAUUACAUGGUGGACUGUGAAAAUUAUAGUAUAAUUACUCGAUGCACUGUUUUUUCAUGAUGAAAUGAUAUUGUACGACGAUUCUGUGGAAGUGUGACAACAUCGUUUCAUCUAUAAAUAUACAUGUGUUUUUCUUAUUAUUACAUUCCUCCUGUUUACGUAUUGAACAUAUUAGGAUUCAUGUUUUUUUAUCUCCCAG
This 359-nucleotide long non-coding RNA is filed under the name Vigna radiata. Its description in RNAcentral is "long non-coding RNA (VRAD_LNC010028)". Lineage: Eukaryota; Viridiplantae; Streptophyta; Magnoliopsida; Fabales; Fabaceae. The record is from RNAcentral.